Molecule: small RNA, 342 nt
Filed under: Histoplasma capsulatum var. duboisii H88
Lineage: Eukaryota; Fungi; Ascomycota; Eurotiomycetes; Onygenales; Ajellomycetaceae
Description: Histoplasma capsulatum H88 hypothetical RNA
Source: RNAcentral
CCGCAAAAUUGGGGCCUGCAUGGAAUAAAUACGACAGUGCAGCAGAGUACCGGGUACAUGACAUGGCUCUUUUGUUUGCUCUUUUCAAGGUGCUGCUUUUUUCUCCAUUUCAUUGCUGUGGCUCCAUUGAAACCAUCGAGUGAAAAUUACGCGACAGUGCAGCUCGGCGUGGUUUGAGGGAAGAUAAAGAGAUAAAUAAUGAGAGAAAAGUGAGGAAACACUGUUGCCAUAUAUUCUGUUCAUAGUCUCUCCUUGCAGCUCCUUUGUGUGCUGUUAUUAUUGUCUAACUGUGACUUGUUUCACAGUUUCAGCCGGAGUAAAUAAAUAUAAUAAAAUACCAAC